Molecule: ribosomal RNA, 486 nt
Filed under: uncultured bacterium
Lineage: Bacteria
Description: partial 16S ribosomal RNA
Rfam family: Bacterial small subunit ribosomal RNA
Source: RNAcentral
GACGAACGCUGGCGGCGUGCUUAACACAUGCAAGUCGAACGCUGAAGACCUGGCUUUUGUUGGGUUGGAUGAGUGGCGAACGGGUGAGUAACACGUGAGUAACCUGCCCUCUUCUUUGGGAUAACGCCCGGAAACGGGUGCUAAUACUGGAUAUUCACUGGCCUUCGCAUGGGGGUUGGUGGAAAGGUUUGUUCUGGUGGGGGAUGGGCUCGCGGCCUAUCAGCUUGUUGGUGGGGUGAUGGCCUACCAAGGCUUUGACGGGUAGCCGGCCUGAGAGGGUGACCGGUCACAUUGGGACUGAGAUACGGCCCAGACUCCUACGGGAGGCAGCAGUGGGGCAUAUUGCACAAUGGGCGAAAGCCUGAUGCCGCGACGCCGCGUGAGGGAUGGAGGCCUUCGGGUUGUAAACCUCUUUCGCUCAUGGUCAAGCCGCAACUGUGGGUUGUGGUGAGGGUAGUGGGUAAAGAAGCGCCGGCUAACUACGUG